UUUGAAGGAAGGCCCUAGUAGUAUCUACAUCACUAAUCAAUCUAAAUCCGAAAUUCAAUAAGACCAAAUUGGCCAGGUCAGUAGGUGGGAGGCUCCUCAUAGCUUUUUUUAGACACCAACAAAGUUGGUCAGGCCAGCAUACGGACCUAAUUAGAAAACCACCUUUCAUACUUUUUUAGAUACCAAUUAGUCAAAAGAAUUUGACUUUUGAUUUGAAAGUGAAUCCUGACAUUACAACUUAAUAUAAUUUUUAAAAGGGUCUUUGAACUGGUCUCGGUACAUCCUAAUUAUGACUACAUAAAAU
This 304-nucleotide long non-coding RNA is filed under the name Elaeis guineensis (African oil palm). RNAcentral's name for it is "long non-coding RNA (EGUI_LNC056417)". Lineage: Eukaryota; Viridiplantae; Streptophyta; Magnoliopsida; Arecales; Arecaceae. The record is from RNAcentral.